GGAGAAUUCAGAGAGGCCUCCAGAGGAGUUGUCUGCAGAGAUAGAAACAGAAAUCUCCAAGGAACUCUAUCGCACCCCAGACUUCCAAUGCCUCGGACAGAGUGCCCGGUGCACCUCUGAGCCCUGCUAGGGUCUCACUGAAUUGCCCAGACUGGCCUCAAAUUUGUG
Molecule: long non-coding RNA, 168 nt
Organism: Sciurus carolinensis (gray squirrel)
Lineage: Eukaryota; Metazoa; Chordata; Mammalia; Rodentia; Sciuridae
Exons: 3
Source: RefSeq, a predicted model, not a curated record